CCAAGAGUCGAGUUGUUUGGGAAUGCAGCUCUAAGUGGGUGGUAAAUUCCAUCUAAAGCUAAAUACCGGCGAGAGACCGAUAGCGAACAAGUACAGUGAUGGAAAGAUGAAAAGCACUUUGAAAAGAGAGUGAAAAAGUACGUGAAAUUGUUGAAAGGGAAGGGCUUGCAAGCAGACACUUAACUGGGCCAGCAUCGGGGCGGCGGGGAGCAAAACCACCGGGGAAUGUACCUUUCGAGGAUUAUAACCCCGGUCCUUACUCCCAUACCACCCCGAGGCCUGCAAUCUAAGGAUGCUGGCGUAAUGGUUGCAAGUCGCCCGUCUUGAAACACGGACCAAGGAGUCUAACAAUCAUGCAAGUGUUUGGGCCCAAAACCCAUACGCGCAAUGAAAGUAACCGGAGCGAACCUUACCGGUGCAGCUCCAGCCACACCGAGACCCAAAUCCCGGUGUGAGCAAGCAUGGCUGUUGGGACCCGAAAGAUGGUGAACUAUACCUGGAUAGGGUGAAGCCAGAGGAAACUCUGGUGGAGGCUCGUAGCGGUUCUGACGUGCAAAUCGAUCGUCGAAUCUGGGUAUAGGGGCGAAAGACUAAUCGAAC
RNAcentral lists this ribosomal RNA (600 nucleotides) under Metschnikowia pulcherrima. RNAcentral's name for it is "eukaryotic LSU rRNA". It matches the Rfam family "Eukaryotic large subunit ribosomal RNA", at positions 258 to 940 of the family's 3401-position model. Lineage: Eukaryota; Fungi; Ascomycota; Pichiomycetes; Serinales; Metschnikowiaceae. The record is from RNAcentral.